GACAGAGGUCCCAAGCGUUAGGCGGAAUCACUGGGCUUAAAGCGUGUGUAGGCGGAGUGCUAAGUACCUUGUGAAAUCCCACGGCUCACCCGUGGAACUGCUUGGUAUACUGGUUCUCUUGAGCCACCUAGGGGCGAGCGGAACAAGUGGUGGAGCGGUGAAAUGCGUAGAUAUCACUUGGAACGCCAAUGGUGAAAACAGCUCGCUGGGGGUGUGCUGACGCUGAGACACGAAAGCCAGGGGAGCGAACGGG
This 253-nucleotide ribosomal RNA is filed under the name uncultured bacterium. RNAcentral's name for it is "partial 16S ribosomal RNA". It matches the Rfam family "Bacterial small subunit ribosomal RNA", at positions 524 to 776 of the family's 1533-position model. The record is from RNAcentral.